RNAcentral lists this ribosomal RNA (243 nucleotides) under uncultured bacterium. RNAcentral's name for it is "partial small subunit ribosomal RNA". It matches the Rfam family "Bacterial small subunit ribosomal RNA", at positions 26 to 285 of the family's 1533-position model. The record is from RNAcentral.
AGAAUCAACGCUGGCGGCGUGCCUAACACAUGCAAGUCGCACGAGAAAGGGACUUCGGUCCUGAGUACAGUGGCGCACGGGUGAGUAACACGUGAAUAAUCUACCUCCGAGUGGGGAAUAACUGAGAGAAAUCUUAGCUAAUACCGCAUAACACUUACGAGUCAAAGCAGCAAUGCGCUUGGAGAGGAGUUCGCGGCAGAUUAGUUAGUUGGCGGGUAAUGGCCCACAAGACGAUGAUCUGUA